AGCAGCCGCGGUAAUUCCAGCUCCAAUAGCGUAUAUUAAAGUUGUUGCGGUUAAAAAGCUCGUAGUUGAAUUUCGGGGUUAGUAGGUUGGUCGUAUCACUGGUAUGUACUGGCUCUACUGAUCCCUCCUUCUUGUAGAACCGUAAUGCCAUUAACUUGGUGUUGCGGGGAAACAGGACUGUUACUUUGAAAAAAUUAGAGUGUUUAAAGCAGGCUAACGCUUGAAUACAUUAGCAUGGAAUAAUGAAAUAGGACGCUCGAUCCUAUUUUGUUGGUUUCUAGGAUUGACGUAAUGAUUAAUAGGGAUAGUUGGGGGCAUUAGUAUUCAAUUGUCAGAGGUGAAAUUCUUGGAUUUAUUGAAGACUAACUACUGCGAAAGCAUUUGCCAAGGAUGUUUUCAUUAAUCAAGAACGAAAGUUAGGGAUCGAAGACGAUCAGAUACCGUCGUAGUCUUAACCAUAAACUAUGCCGACUAGGGAUCGGGAUGAUGUUAAUUUUAUGUACUCAUUCGGCGCCUUACG
RNAcentral lists this ribosomal RNA (520 nucleotides) under uncultured Glomus. RNAcentral describes it as "SSU rRNA". It matches the Rfam family "Eukaryotic small subunit ribosomal RNA", at positions 569 to 1092 of the family's 1831-position model. Lineage: Eukaryota; Fungi; Glomeromycota; Glomeromycetes; Glomerales; Glomeraceae. The record is from RNAcentral.